AACGAACGCUGGCGGCAUGCCUAACACAUGCAAGUCGAACGAGACCUUCGGGUCUAGUUGCGCACGUGUGCGUAACGCGUGGGAACCUGCCCUUAGGUUCGGAAUAACUCCCCGAAAGGGGUGCUAAUACCGGAUAAUGUCUUCGGACCAAAGAUUUAUCGCCUUUGGAUGGGCCCGCGUUGGAUUAGCUGGUUGGUAGGGUAAAAGCCUACCAAGGCGACGAUCCAUAGCUGGUCUGUGAGGAUGAUCAGCCACACUGGGACUGAGACACGGACCAGACUCCUACGGGAGGCAGCAGUGGGGAAUAUUGGACAACGGGCGAAAGCCUGAUCCAGCAAUGCCGCGUGAGUGAUGAAGGCCUUAGGGUUGUAAAGCUCUUUUACCCGGGAUGAUAAUGACAGUACCGGGAGAAUAAGCUCCGGCUAACUCCGUG
RNAcentral lists this ribosomal RNA (433 nucleotides) under uncultured bacterium. RNAcentral's name for it is "partial 16S ribosomal RNA". It matches the Rfam family "Bacterial small subunit ribosomal RNA", at positions 29 to 507 of the family's 1533-position model. The record is from RNAcentral.